AGAGUUUGAUCCUGGCUCAGAUUGAACGCUGGCGGCAUGCCUAACACAUGCAAGUCGAACGGGCUGUAGUAAUACAGCUAGUGGCGGACGGGUGAGGAAUACAUAGGAAUUUGCCUUUAGGUGGGGGAUAGCCCGGGGAAACUCGGAGUAAUACCGCAUGAUGUCGCAAGACCAAAGUCGGGGAUCGCAAGACCUGGCGCCUUUAGAGAAGCCUAUGUCUGAUUAGCUAGUUGGCAGGGUAAUGGCCUACCAAGGCGACGAUCAGUAACUGGUCUGAGAGGACGAUCAGUCACACCGGAACUGAGACACGGUCCGGACUCCUACGGGAGGCAGCAGUGGGGAAUAUUGGACAAUGGGCGAAAGCCUGAUCCAGCAAUGCCGCGUGUGUGAAGAAGGCCUUCGGGUUGUAAAGCACUUUGAUCUGGGAAGAAAAAGCUUUGGCUAAUAUCCAAAGCCUUGACGGUACCAGAAGAACAAGCACCGGCUAACUCUGUGCCAGCAGCCGCGGUAAUACAGAGGGUGCGAGCGUUAAUCGGAUUUACUGGGCGUAAAGCGUGUGUAGGCGGUUAGCUAAGUCGGAUGUGAAAGCCCUGGGCUCAACCUGGGAAUUGCAUUCGAUACUGGUUGGCUAGAGUACGGUAGAGGGCGGCGGAAUUCCGGGUGUAGCGGUGAAAUGCGUAGAUAUCCGGAGGAACACCGAUGGCGAAGGCAACCGCCUGGGCUAACACUGACGCUCAUGCACGAAAGCGUGGGGAGCAAACAGGAUUAGAUACCCUGGUAGUCCACGCCCUAAACGAUGGGUACUAGGUGUCGGGGGUUCGACCCUCUCGGUGCCGCAGCUAACGUGUUAAGUACCCCGCCUGGGGACUACGAUCGCAAGGUUAAAACUUAAAGGAAUUGACGG
Molecule: ribosomal RNA, 904 nt
Filed under: uncultured bacterium
Lineage: Bacteria
Description: bacterial SSU rRNA
Rfam family: Bacterial small subunit ribosomal RNA
Source: RNAcentral